RNAcentral lists this ribosomal RNA (492 nucleotides) under uncultured bacterium. RNAcentral describes it as "partial 16S ribosomal RNA". It matches the Rfam family "Bacterial small subunit ribosomal RNA", at positions 29 to 507 of the family's 1533-position model. The record is from RNAcentral.
AGUGAACGCUGGCGGUAGGCCUAACACAUGCAAGUCGAACGGCAGCACAGUAAGAGCUUGCUCUUACGGGUGGCGAGUGGCGGACGGGUGAGGGAUACAUCGGAAUCUACUUUUUCGUGGGGGAUAACGUAGGGAAACUUACGCUAAUACCGCAUACGACCUACGGGUGAAAGCAGGGGAUCUUCGGACCUUGCGCGAUUGAAUGAGCCGAUGUCGGAUUAGCUAGUUGGCGGGGUAAAGGCCCACCAAGGCGACGAUCCGUAGCUGGUCUGAGAGGAUGAUCAGCCACACUGGAACUGAGACACGGUCCAGACUCCUACGGGAGGCAGCAGUGGGGAAUAUUGGACAAUGGGCGCAAGCCUGAUGCAGCCAUACCGCGUGGGUGAAGAAGGCCUUCGGGUUGUAAAGCCCUUUUGUUGGGAAAGAAAAGCAGCAGGUUAAUACCCCGCUGUUCUGACGGUACCCAAAGAAUAAGCACCGGCUAACUUCGUG